RNAcentral lists this ribosomal RNA (231 nucleotides) under uncultured eukaryote. RNAcentral describes it as "partial small subunit ribosomal RNA". It matches the Rfam family "Eukaryotic small subunit ribosomal RNA", at positions 1208 to 1456 of the family's 1831-position model. The record is from RNAcentral.
GGAAACCUUACUAGGGUAAGACAUUGGUAUGAUUGACAGAUUACUUGAUCUUUCUUGAUUUGGUGGGUGGUGGUGCAUGGCCGAUCUUAGUUGGUGGAGUGAUUUGUCUGGUUAAUUCCGUUAACGAACGAGACCCCAGCCUGCUAAAUAAUCACGCUAAUGACUUUUCAUUGGCGAUUGGUUUCUUAGAGGGACAUGUAGUAUAAAACUACAGGAAGAUUGGGGCAAUAA